GUGUUUAUUCACUAUUUACGAAUCAUCAUUUUAUCAUUUUUGUAUAUACCUCACAUAUUUACUUAUUUCAGCACAACACUUUACACAUGUGUAACAUACAUAUGAGAUGACAUUUCACUUGCGAAAGGAAAAAUAAUCUUUAGAAUUUUCACCAAGUAUGCAUAAAAAUGAAAUUACAUUACGAACAAAAAUAAGUACAAGAGCUAAUUAAAUCAAGAAGUUAGCUAUGCCCUCAAGUACCAAAUCCUCUUGAAGAUUUUUGGAGCCCGGAAGACUAUGCCAUUUUCUUUCAAAUGGAGACAACAAAUUCUCUUUAUCGAUUAAUUAAGCAGAAGUGAUUUGUCUAAUUAAUUAAUGAGAAAUCGCACAAAAAAAGAUACAAACCCAUCAGAUGUGAACCACUUAAUGAGCAUACAAUCCCAUAAACUCAUGAUCAGCCCAACAACUAAACUCAACACGUAACGACUACAACCCCCCNN
This 479-nucleotide long non-coding RNA is filed under the name Hordeum vulgare. RNAcentral describes it as "long non-coding RNA (HVUL_LNC011571)". The record is from RNAcentral. Lineage: Eukaryota; Viridiplantae; Streptophyta; Magnoliopsida; Poales; Poaceae.